This 473-nucleotide ribosomal RNA is filed under the name uncultured organism. RNAcentral's name for it is "partial 16S ribosomal RNA". It matches the Rfam family "Bacterial small subunit ribosomal RNA", at positions 335 to 799 of the family's 1533-position model. The record is from RNAcentral.
ACUCCUACGGGAGGCAGCAGUGGGGAAUAUUGCACAAUGGGCGCAAGCCUGAUGCAGCCAUGCCGCGUGUAUGAAGAAGGCCUUCGGGUUGUAAAGUACUUUCAGCGGGGAGGAAGGCAAUACGGUUAAUAACCGUGUUGAUUGACGUUACCCGCAGAAGAAGCACCGGCUAACUCCGUGCCAGCAGCCGCGGUAAUACGGAGGGUGCAAGCGUUAAUCGGAAUUACUGGGCGUAAAGCGCACGCAGGCGGUCUGUCAAGUCGGAUGUGAAAUCCCCGGGCUCAACCUGGGAACUGCAUUCGAAACUGGCAGGCUUGAGUCUUGUAGAGGGGGGUAGAAUUCCAGGUGUAGCGGUGAAAUGCGUAGAGAUCUGGAGGAAUACCGGUGGCGAAGGCGGCCCCCUGGACAAAGACUGACGCUCAGGUGCGAAAGCGUGGGGAGCAAACAGGAUUAGAUACCCCUGUAGUCCCAUG